GAUGAACGCUAGCGGCAGGCUUAACACAUGCAAGUCGAACGGUAACAUUGGUGCUUGCACCAGAUGACGAGUGGCGCACGGGUGCGUAACGCGUAUGCAAUCUACCUUUUACUGGAGUAUAGCCCAGAGAAAUUUGGAAUAAUCCUCCAUAAUAUCAUUUAAUCGCAUGAUUUUUUGAUUAAAGCUUCGGUGGUAAAAGAUGAGCAUGCGUUCUAUUAGCUAGUAGGUAAGGUAACGGCUUACCUAGGCAACGAUAGAUAGGGGUCCUGAGAGGGAGAUCCCCCACACUGGUACUGAGACACGGACCAGACUCCUACGGGAGGCAGCAGUGAGGAAUAUUGGACAAUGGACGAAAGUCUGAUCCAGCCAUGCCGCGUGCAGGAUGAAUGCCCUAUGGGUUGUAAACUGCUUUUAUAUAGGAAGAAAACCCUCCACGUGUGGAGGCUUGACGGUACUAUAAGAAUAAGGAUCGGCUAACUCCGUGCCAGCCGCCGCCGUAACAC
Molecule: ribosomal RNA, 503 nt
Filed under: uncultured bacterium
Lineage: Bacteria
Description: bacterial SSU rRNA
Rfam family: Bacterial small subunit ribosomal RNA
Source: RNAcentral